Molecule: transfer RNA, 74 nt
Filed under: Bifidobacteriaceae bacterium
Lineage: Bacteria; Bacillati; Actinomycetota; Actinomycetes; Bifidobacteriales; Bifidobacteriaceae
Description: tRNA-Val
Rfam family: tRNA
About the family: Transfer RNA (tRNA) molecules are approximately 80 nucleotides in length. Their secondary structure includes four short double-helical elements and three loops (D, anti-codon, and T loops). Further hydrogen bonds mediate the characteristic L-shaped molecular structure. tRNAs have two regions of fundamental functional importance: the anti-codon, which is responsible for specific mRNA codon recognition, and the 3' end, to which the tRNAs corresponding amino acid is attached (by aminoacyl-tRNA synthetases). tRNAs cope with the degeneracy of the genetic code in two manners: having more than one tRNA (with a specific anti-codon) for a particular amino acid; and 'wobble' base-pairing, i.e. permitting non-standard base-pairing at the 3rd anti-codon position.
Source: RNAcentral
GGGCCUAUAGCUCAGUCGGCUAGAGCACCACGUUUACACCGUGGCGGUCGCAGGUUCGAUUCCUGCUGGGCCCA